RNAcentral lists this ribosomal RNA (253 nucleotides) under uncultured Acidobacteriota bacterium. Its description in RNAcentral is "uncultured Acidobacteria bacterium partial 16S ribosomal RNA". It matches the Rfam family "Bacterial small subunit ribosomal RNA", at positions 524 to 776 of the family's 1533-position model. The record is from RNAcentral. Lineage: Bacteria; Pseudomonadati; Acidobacteriota.
UACGGGGGGGGCAAGCGUUGUUCGGAAUUAUUGGGCGUAAAGGGCGCGUAGGCGGCUUGGCAAGUGGAUGGUGAAAUCCCUCGGCUUAACCGAGGAACUGCCGUCCAAACUGCUUUGCUUGAGACCGGGAGAGGUGAGUGGAAUUCCCAGUGUAGCGGUGAAAUGCGUAGAUAUUGGGAGGAACACCAGUGGCGAAGGCGGCUCACUGGACCGGUACUGACGCUGAGGCGCGAAAGCGUGGGGAGCAAACGGG